RNAcentral lists this ribosomal RNA (253 nucleotides) under uncultured bacterium. RNAcentral describes it as "partial 16S ribosomal RNA". It matches the Rfam family "Bacterial small subunit ribosomal RNA", at positions 524 to 776 of the family's 1533-position model. The record is from RNAcentral.
UACGGAGGGAGCUAGCGUUGUUCGGAAUUACUGGGCGUAAAGCGCGCGUAGGCGGCUUUGUAAGUUAGAGGUGAAAGCCCGGGGCUUAACCCCGGAAUUGCCUUUAAGACUGCAUAGCUAGAAUCCGGGAGAGGUGAGUGGAAUUCCGAGUGUAGAGGUGAAAUUCGUAGAUAUUCGGAAGAACACCAGUGGCGAAGGCGGCUCACUGGACCGUCAUUGACGCUGAGGUGCGAAAGCGUGGGGAGCAAACAGG